Molecule: ribosomal RNA, 253 nt
Filed under: uncultured bacterium
Lineage: Bacteria
Description: partial 16S ribosomal RNA
Rfam family: Bacterial small subunit ribosomal RNA
Source: RNAcentral
UACGUAGGUGGCAAGCGUUAUCCGGAAUUAUUGGGCGUAAAGAGCGCGCAGGUGGUUAAUUAAGUCUGAUGUGAAAGCCCACGGCUUAACCGUGGAGGGUCAUUGGAAACUGGUUGACUUGAGUGCAGAAGAGGGAAGUGGAAUUCCAUGUGUAGCGGUGAAAUGCGUAGAGAUAUGGAGGAACACCAGUGGCGAAGGCGGCUUCCUGGUCAGAAACUGACACUGAGGCUCGAAAGCGUGGGGAGCAAAUAGG